RNAcentral lists this ribosomal RNA (275 nucleotides) under uncultured bacterium. Its description in RNAcentral is "partial 16S ribosomal RNA". It matches the Rfam family "Bacterial small subunit ribosomal RNA", at positions 399 to 691 of the family's 1533-position model. The record is from RNAcentral.
GCGUGGAUGAAGAAGGCCUUAGGGUUGUAAAAUCCUUUCGCUAGGGAAGAUAAUGACGGUACCUAGUAAAGAAGCCCCGGCUAAUUUCGUGCCAGCAGCCGCGGUAAUACGAAAGGGGCUAGCGUUGUUCGGAAUUACUGGGCGUAAAGCGCACGUAGGCGGCAUGCUAAGUUAGAGGUGAAAUCCCGGAGCUCAACUCCGGAACUGCCUUUAAAACUAGCAAGCUAGAGGAUGUGAGAGGAGAGUGGAAUUCCGAGUGUAGAGGUGAAAUUCGU